RNAcentral lists this ribosomal RNA (542 nucleotides) under uncultured bacterium. RNAcentral's name for it is "partial 16S ribosomal RNA". It matches the Rfam family "Bacterial small subunit ribosomal RNA", at positions 355 to 914 of the family's 1533-position model. The record is from RNAcentral.
UGGGGAAUAUUGCACAAUGGGCGAAAGCCUGAUGCAGCAACGCCGCGUGAGUGAUGAAGGCCUUCGGGUUGUAAAGCUCUGUCUUUUGGGACGAUAAUGACGGUACCAAAGGAGGAAGCCACGGCUAACUACGUGCCAGCAGCCGCGGUAAUACGUAGGUGGCAAGCGUUGUCCGGAUUUACUGGGCGUAAAGGAUGCGUAGGCGGAUUUUUAAGUGAGAUGUGAAAACCCUAAGCUUAACUUGGGACUGCAUUUCAUACUGGAAAUCUAGAGUGCGGGAGAGGAGAAUGGAAUUCCUAGUGUAGCGGUGAAAUGCGUAGAGAUUAGGAAGAACACCAGUGGCGAAGGCGAUUCUCUGGACCGUAACUGACGCUGAGGCAUGAAAGCGUGGGUAGCAAACAGGAUUAGAUACCCUGGUAGUCCACGCCGUAAACGAUGAGUACUAGGUGUAGGAGGUAUCGACCCCUUCUGUGCCGCAGUUAACACAAUAAGUACUCCGCCUGGGAAGUACGAUCGCAAGAUUAAAACUCAAAGGAAUUGAC